RNAcentral lists this unclassified non-coding RNA (140 nucleotides) under soil metagenome. RNAcentral describes it as "partial internal transcribed spacer 1". The record is from RNAcentral.
UCAAAACAGCGGACUUCGGUCCUUGCUGCGCCCUUGUCUUUUGCGCACCGUAUUGUUUCCUCGGCGGGCUUGCCUGCCGGUUGGACAUUAUCAAAACCUUUUUGUAGUUGCAAUCAGCGUCAGAAAAACAAUAAUUAUUA